UGGGGAAUUUUGCGCAAUGGGGGAAACCCUGACGCAGCAACGCCGCGUGGAGGAUGAAGUCCCUUGGGAUGUAAACUCCUUUCGAUCGGGAAGGGCUGCCGGGUGAAUACUCCGGCAGAGUGACGGUACCGAGAGAAGAAGCCCCGGCUAACUCC
This 155-nucleotide ribosomal RNA is filed under the name uncultured bacterium. RNAcentral describes it as "partial 16S ribosomal RNA". It matches the Rfam family "Bacterial small subunit ribosomal RNA", at positions 355 to 504 of the family's 1533-position model. The record is from RNAcentral.